Hyla sarda is the source of this 73-nucleotide non-coding RNA. The record is from the annotation of a RefSeq genome assembly. NCBI's taxonomy places the organism in Eukaryota, Metazoa, Chordata, Amphibia, Anura, Hylidae.
GGCCUUAUAGCUCAGUGGAUAGAGCACUGGUCUUGUAAACCAUGGGUCAUGAGUUCAAUCCUCAUAGAGGCCU